GAGGCCUAAAACAAAUACGAGCAAAAUAUGAAAAAAAAAACAAAAAUGCUGUAAAAUACCACUUAAGUAGAAAAUGUGUUUGCCUUGACUUGUGAAAGAAACUCAGAUUAAGCAGGGAAGAUGGUGGGGGGGAGGUGCGGCCAAGUGGCGGGGCACGAGCUUGGCAUGCACAGGGUGCUGGGUCCUCGGUACCUGCUCCAAAACUAAAUAAAUAAAUGACCCCAAUUACCCCCUCCCCCCACCAAAAUAAAAACUUAGAAAAAUAAGAAAUUAAAAAACAACAGGGAAGAUGGUGCAGCAGCUGCUGCAGAAGGCGACGAGCAGGGUAGUAGAGGGCGGGUCAGGGCCAGGGGUGGCUCAGGACUGCGGACACGGGCCCCCGGCCCCGCCCUCUCCCCCACUGAACGCAGCUGUAAAACUGGAAGGAAAUACCUGCAAGAGCGCUGUCAGGAUUCCGAACAGAAAACAGCAGCAGAAAGCUUGGGGAAUAAGAUGAGAAUCUGAAGAGCCGCAAAUGCGUGACCCCAGCCUGCAUUGCCUCUACUUCUUGCAGGUCAACUCCACCUCCUUCUGCAUACCAGCCGCCUGCACCCCUGUGGAGCACUUGUUCUGUUCCUCCUACAAGCUGGUCUUCCAAAUCCGAACAGGAGCUGCAGGGGCUGCCUGGAAGGUGCACGCCGGGGGACCUGCAGCUCCAGAGGGCUGCCUGGCUGACAGCUGAACCCACGUGUGGUUAGGGAUGCCCAGCGCCCAGAGGCUUGGCUGGGAGCACUUGCUGUCCUCCCUCCCAGGUUCAGAAAAAAGAUGCUCAUCAGCAAGGGCUGCACGUCUUCCUGCUUCACCAGCAACCCCCCGACUUGAGCAUGAUCCCCGCGGAAAAUAUCAGUCACGCCAAGUUCCUGUGCUGCCCAUCCGGCAGGUAUAACCAAGAGGUCAAGGGUAGCUCCUCGGCCCUGCAAGUCAGGCUCCUGCUCAGCCUGGGGCUUGGCUUCCACCAGGCCCUGGUGCGAGGACCCUCCCUUCCUGCCCCCACCCCAGCCCCUCCCUCUCUGUGGACUGGGUGACAGGGCCGACCCUCCAAGAUGAGGGUCCCCUGGGUGGGAGAGGCAGACUCACUGCCCCUCUUGCCUGGCAUGUAUGAGCAUGGUCCGGCCCCUCCGUCCUCCUAGUCCCAGUUUCAGGGGGUGGCAGGUUCCUUCUGGUCCAGCUCACUCGUGCUGUCCACCUUAAGAGGGUCUUGCCCAACAAAGUGUCAACUCCAUCCCUUCUAUGCCAAUGAGAUGGGUGGUGACACUUGUCCCCCACAUGGACCCUGAAGUUCACAUCCCCUGGAGAAGCCUCGCAAGGGUGCCUGACAGGCAAUGGGAUCACAGAUCAAUAAAGAAAAGCAAACAAGGCCGAGCGAGCACUGGGUGUCGGGUAGAGAUGGGCUCAGGUAGGAUCGUAAGUUAACAAGGAGAGAGCCUUGGAUGGCGAAGGAACAGGGAGUGAGUGACAAAGCUGUGGGAAUGCCCCUCGGUGAGG
Molecule: non-coding RNA, 1524 nt
Organism: Vicugna pacos (alpaca)
Lineage: Eukaryota; Metazoa; Chordata; Mammalia; Artiodactyla; Camelidae
Source: RefSeq, a predicted model, not a curated record